CUAGUCUCUAGCUGACUGGACGUUUUCGACCAAGCGCCACUCAGCUGUGGCUCUCGGCCUCUGCACACAGACCGCUUUUCUUAGUGAACACAUUCAGCUGGAAGUAUCUGGAGAGCCUGGUGUUGAAAGCAAGCAUCUACUUUUGAGUGCUGGCAACCUACAGACUCCACCUGGACCUGAGACUCAUGACUCAGCUGAUCCUGUGGCUCCACCCAGAGGUGGACUCAGCGGACAAAAAUCAUUUACACCCCACGGUCUGUCCCCAACCAAUCAGCAGCACCCAUUCCCUAGCCCCUGCCUGCCAAAUUGCCCAUGAAAACUCUAGCCUCUGAGUUCUCUAGAAGUUUGAAUAAUAACUCGUCUUUUCACUUGGCUAGCUCUGUGUUAAACUCUUUCUCUACUGCAAUACAA
This is a non-coding RNA of Chlorocebus sabaeus (green monkey), 411 nucleotides long. The record is from RefSeq and is a predicted model, not a curated record. NCBI's taxonomy places the organism in Eukaryota, Metazoa, Chordata, Mammalia, Primates, Cercopithecidae.